RNAcentral lists this ribosomal RNA (468 nucleotides) under uncultured bacterium. RNAcentral's name for it is "partial 16S ribosomal RNA". It matches the Rfam family "Bacterial small subunit ribosomal RNA", at positions 28 to 507 of the family's 1533-position model. The record is from RNAcentral.
GACGAACGCUGGCGGCGUGCUUAACACAUGCAAGUCGAACGGAAAGGCCCUGCUUUUGUGGGGUUCUCGAGUGGCGAACGGGUGAGUAACACGUGAGUAACCUGCCCUUGACUUUGGGAUAACUUCAGGAAACUGGGGCUAAUACCGGAUAGGAGCUCCUGCUGCAUGGUGGGGGUUGGAAAGUUUCGGCGGCUGGGGAUGGACUCGCGGCUUAUCAGCUUGUUGGUGUGGUAGUGGCUUACCAAGGCUUUGACGGGUAGCCGGCCUGAGAGGGUGACCGGCCACAUUGGGACUGAGAUACGGCCCAGACUGCUACGGGAGGCAGCAGUGGGGAAUAUUGCACAAUGGGCGGAAGCCUGAUGCAGCAACGCCGCGUGCGGGAUGACGGCCUUCGGGUUGUAAACAGCUUUCGCCUGUGACGAAGCGUGAGUGACGGUAAUGGGUAAAGAAGCACCGGCUAACUACGUG